Molecule: ribosomal RNA, 322 nt
Filed under: uncultured Methanosaeta sp.
Lineage: Archaea; Methanobacteriati; Methanobacteriota; Methanomicrobia; Methanotrichales; Methanotrichaceae
Description: bacterial SSU rRNA
Rfam family: Archaeal small subunit ribosomal RNA
Source: RNAcentral
GUGAAGCAUCCUGUUAAGUCAGGCAACGAGCGAGACCCACGCCCACAGUUGCCAGCGUACUCUCCGGAGUGACGGGUACACUGUGGGACCGCCGCUGCUAAAGCGGAGGAAGGAAUGGGCAACGGUAGGUCAGUAUGCCCCGAAUAUCCCGGGCUACACGCGAGCUACAAUGGUUGGUACAAUGGGUAUCUACCCCGAAAGGGGAUGGAAAUCUCCUAAAGCCAAUCUUAGUUCGGAUUGAGGGCUGCAACUCGCCCUCAUGAAGCUGGAAUCCGUAGUGAUCGCGUUUCAACAGAACGCGGUGAAUACGUCCCUGCUCCUU